UGGGGAAUAUUGGACAAUGGGCGGAAGCCUGAUCCAGCCAUGUCGCGUGUGUGAAGAAGGCCUUUUGGUUGUAAAGCACUUUAAGCGAGGAGGAGGCUACUUGGAUUAAUACUCUAGGAUAGUGGACGUUACUCGCAGAAUAAGCACCGGCUAACUCUGUGCCAGCAGCCGAGGUAAUACAGAGGGUGCGAGCGUUAAUCGGAUUUACUGGGCGUAAAGCGUGCGUAGGCGGCUUCUUAAGUCGGAUGUGAAAUCCCUGAGCUUAACUUAGGAAUUGCAUUCGAUACUGGGAAGCUAGAGUAUGGGAGAGGAUGGUAGAAUUCCAGGUGUAGCGGUGAAAUGCGUAGAGAUCUGGAGGAAUACCGAUGGCGAAGGCAGCCAUCUGGCCUAAUACUGACGCUGAGGUACGAAAGCAUGGGGAGCAAACAGG
RNAcentral lists this ribosomal RNA (430 nucleotides) under bacterium. RNAcentral describes it as "partial 16S ribosomal RNA". It matches the Rfam family "Bacterial small subunit ribosomal RNA", at positions 355 to 776 of the family's 1533-position model. The record is from RNAcentral.